RNAcentral lists this long non-coding RNA (326 nucleotides) under Chrysolophus pictus (golden pheasant). RNAcentral describes it as "lncRNA (ENSCPIG00010002118.1)". The record is from RNAcentral. Lineage: Eukaryota; Metazoa; Chordata; Aves; Galliformes; Phasianidae.
GUCUUUUUAAAGAGAUAUUCCUGUAAAGCAUGCUUUCUUGUGGUUAUUGCCAUCUUUUCAUGUCACUGUUAAGGGAAAAUGCCUUCAGUCUUGCCUGGGAGUUUAUUUAAAGCACUUGCAGAUGGCUAGAAGCAGGUGCUGCAGCUGCUUUUAGUAUGGUGCUCUCCUGGAAGUGGAACAGAUUGUACUUUGUUGUGAGCCCCAAGUUCCCACAGACCUGCAGCUCCCUGACUAUUACAAGACUAGAGUUCAUCUGCUGACUCCAGCAUCCGCACAUUGUAAAGCAUAAAAAACACCGUUAAUUAAGUGCUGGGGAUCUCUACCAU